AAAUCAAUAUAUGCUCAGCAUACCCCCCAACAUUUACAUCUUAAAUACCAUAUAAUUGUUUCGUCGGACAAUCUCCCCUGAAUACAUAUUAUUUUAUUACUUAAAGUAUUUUGAUACAAUAUUUGCCAAAUUAUUCAUCAUCCUACAAUCAUAGAAAGUAAAUAUAAGAGUAUAUUAUUAGUUACAAUCGAAGAAAUUAAGAGUGGAAGACAAUCUAGAUACUAUUAUUUAUUUCAUAUUGCAAUUUUAAUAUUAUCUUCAUCGUCUUCCACUCUCAUAACACAAAUACAAGUAUUAACUGACUUAUUAUAUGGUAUAUUUUAUCUUAAACGAAGUUUCAUAGAUCUUUUUCUAGUGCCAUAAAUCAUUUUCCCCUAUAAUUUUCUUUUGCACUCUCUUGGGUCUUGUUCUCCAAGGACGUGCAGAUCCAGAUGGAGGAAUACAGUUACAC
RNAcentral lists this long non-coding RNA (451 nucleotides) under Trifolium pratense (red clover). Its description in RNAcentral is "long non-coding RNA (TPRA_LNC008636)". Lineage: Eukaryota; Viridiplantae; Streptophyta; Magnoliopsida; Fabales; Fabaceae. The record is from RNAcentral.